Molecule: ribosomal RNA, 755 nt
Filed under: uncultured archaeon
Lineage: Archaea
Description: bacterial SSU rRNA
Rfam family: Archaeal small subunit ribosomal RNA
Source: RNAcentral
UUCGCCCUUUUCCGGUUGAUCCUGCCGGAGGCUACUGCUAUUGGAAUUCGACUAAGCCAUGCGAGUCAAGGUGUCUUCGGACGCCGGCAAACGGCUCAGUAACACGUAGGUAAUCUACCCUCAGGACUGAGAUAACCCCGGGAAACUGGGGCUAAUACCAGAUAGAUAAAAGAUACUGGAAUGUUCUUUUAUCCAAAGCUUUUGUGCCUGAGGAUGAGCCUGCGCCCGAUUAGGUAGUUGGUGGGGUAAUGGCCCACCAAGCCUGCGAUCGGUACGGGCAGUGGGAGCUGUAGCCCGGAGUUGGGGACUGAGACAAGGCCCCAGGCCCUACGGGGCGCAGCAGGCGCGAAACCUCUGCAAUGCGGGAAACCGUGACAGGGGGAUUCCAAGUGCUCAUGCAUUGCAUGGGCUGUUCUUUGGUCUAAGUAACCAGAGGAGUAAGGGCUGGGCAAGACCGGUGCCAGCCGCCGCGGUAAUACCGGCAGCUCGAGUGGUAGCCGCGAUUAUUGGGCCUAAAACGUUCGUAGCCGGAUAAGUAAGUCUUUGGUUAAAUCCUACGACUUAACCGUGGGAAAUCUAGAGAUACUGCUUGUCUUGAGACCGGGAGAGGUUGGAGGUACUCCCAGGGUAGGGGUGAAAUCCUGUAAUCCUGGGGGGACCACCUGUGGCGAAGGCGUCCAACUGGAACGGCUCUGACGGUGAGGGACGAAACCUAGGGGAGCGAGCCGGAUUAGAUACCCGGGUAGUCCUAGGCG